Molecule: ribosomal RNA, 481 nt
Filed under: uncultured bacterium
Lineage: Bacteria
Description: partial 16S ribosomal RNA
Rfam family: Bacterial small subunit ribosomal RNA
Source: RNAcentral
GAUGAACGCUGGCGGCGUGCUUAACACAUGCAAGUCGAACGAAACACCUUAUUUGAUUUUCUUCGGAACUGAAGAUUUGGUGAUUGAGUGGCGGACGGGUGAGUAACGCGUGGGUAACCUGCCCUGAACAGGGGGAUAACAGUCAGAAAUGACUGCUAAUACCGCAUAAGACCACAGCACCGCAUGGUGCAGGGGUAAAAACUCCGGUGGUACAGGAUGGACCCGCGUCUGAUUAGCUGGUUGGUGAGGUAACGGCUCACCAAGGCGACGAUCAGUAGCCGGCUUGAGAGAGUGAACGGCCACAUUGGGACUGAGACACGGCCCAAACUCCUACGGGAGGCAGCAGUGGGGAAUAUUGCACAAUGGGGGAAACCCUGAUGCAGCGACGCCGCGUGAGUGAAGAAGUAUUUCGGUAUGUAAAGCUCUAUCAGCAGGGAAGAAAAUGACGGUACCUGACUAAGAAGCCCCGGCUAACUACGUG